Molecule: long non-coding RNA, 564 nt
Filed under: Betta splendens (Siamese fighting fish)
Lineage: Eukaryota; Metazoa; Chordata; Actinopteri; Anabantiformes; Osphronemidae
Description: lncRNA (ENSBSLG00000014854.1)
Source: RNAcentral
AUGGAGCAAGAGGACCCUUCUCUCUCCCACCGCAUGCAUAGUAUCCGGAGCAUAAACCAGGACCCUGCUGGACUUCAUGAUGAGCCUGUCCAGCCUCUCAGUGAUGCUGCUGCAUUGUCAAAACAUCAAAGAAUAGAUGACUCCAUUCCUGGACCGGGAAGUUUCCAACCUGUUCUCCUCUUCCAACCCCCCACCUCUCCACUCACCACAACUGGCCAUGGCAGAUGACUAUUCAACAGGAGUCUUGUUCUGAUUGCGGCCCCUUCCAUUAAACAGCUACAACUGCAGCUUUGUGCUCCUACUGUGAUCCUUCCUGUAGAUUUGCUUUUGAGAACAUUUGUCGUAAUUUUGUUAACCUAUUACCGUAAGGGACCAAAGAGUGUGUGGAUAAAUCAUUCAACUUUUGGUCAGACAUUAAGGUCAAUACUAAUGAGAGAGUUUAGUUCACUUUAAAGCUUUUCUUCUUGAUGGUUUGCACAUCUGGUGGGUUUGAAUUACACAUGGUUCACCAGGAAAUAUUUUGGUCCUGUUAGUAAAGCCACACAACUGUUCUAGUGCAGUGUA